Molecule: ribosomal RNA, 450 nt
Filed under: uncultured bacterium
Lineage: Bacteria
Description: partial 16S ribosomal RNA
Rfam family: Bacterial small subunit ribosomal RNA
Source: RNAcentral
GUGGGGAAUAUUGGACAAUGGGCGAAAGCCUGAUCCAGCCAUGCCGCGUGUGUGAAGAAGGUCUUCGGAUUGUAAAGCACUUUAAGUUGGGAGGAAGGGCAGUAAGUUAAUACCUUGCUGUUUUGACGUUACCAACAGAAUAAGCACCGGCUAACUUCGUGCCAGCAGCCGCGGUAAGAGGAAGGGUGCAAGCGUUAAUCGGAAUUACUGGGCGUAAAGCGCGCGGAGGUGGUUUUGUAAGUUGGAGGUGAAAUCCCCGGGCUCAACCUGGGAACUGCCUCCAAAACUGCAUGACUAGAGUACGGUAGAGGGUAGUGGAAUUUCCUGUGUAGCGGUGAAAUGCCUAGAUAUAGGAAGGAACACCAGUGGCGAAGGCGACUACCUGGACUGAUACUUACACUGAGGUGCGAAAACGUGGGGAGCAAACCGGAUUAGAAACCCUUGUAGUCC